GGGAUAUGAGAAGCCGAGGAAAGCGUGUUCCCAAAGCUAUUUGUGACCACCCCUUCCUCUUCUCCCUAACAAGGAAACCCUGCCUGUGACGAGCUGUACAAGGCCUGGCUCAGCGGCUGGCGGGACAGCAACUGGAGACUUAGGAAGAAAAACAACUUCUAAACGUGGUGUUCGUGCAAGAAAGUAUCAGGGUCCUGGCUCUGUCUUAGAGGAGUAGAAUCAUAUUCAGCAGAUCCUGCAUAUUCCUGGAAGGGGCUUUCUGACCACAUGAUCUUCAGGGUGACACAUGGACAAGAAACAGAUCUUCUUCUUAAUCCACUAUCCUCCGUGGAGACAGACACCGUCAAGGACAAGCACCUGGAUCAUCUCCUCCCUGCAAAGAGAUACAGGCUGGUGGGAAAGCUGCUGACCAAAAAGGUCACAGGAUCCCUCCUCUCUGCAAGUGUCUCGAGGCCAAAGACAGGCUGGUGGGAAAACUCUGACCAGCAAGGCCAUAUGUUCCCCCUCCCCUACCUAAAACCCCAAAUAAAAACCCUUCCUUUUAGCUUUUCGGGGAGUUUGGGAUUUCAGCGUUAGCUGCCCUCUCUCCUUGCUCAGCGCUGUCCAAAAAUAAAAUUCC
This 619-nucleotide long non-coding RNA is filed under the name Equus caballus (horse). RNAcentral describes it as "lncRNA (ENSECAG00000031713.3)". Lineage: Eukaryota; Metazoa; Chordata; Mammalia; Perissodactyla; Equidae. The record is from RNAcentral.